Molecule: ribosomal RNA, 484 nt
Filed under: uncultured bacterium
Lineage: Bacteria
Description: partial 16S ribosomal RNA
Rfam family: Bacterial small subunit ribosomal RNA
Source: RNAcentral
AUUGAACGCUGGCGGCAGGCCUAACACAUGCAAGUCGAGCGGAUGAAGGCUGCUUUCUCCUGGAUUCCGCGUCGGACGGGUGAGUAAUGCCUAUGAAUCUGCCUGCUAUUGCUUUAUAACGUCCUCAGACGGGCGCUACUACCACAUACUUCCUGAGCGUGAAACUUGGUGAUCUUCGGACCUCUCGCUCUCAUGUGAGCCUAGGCCGGGUUAGCUAGUUGGUGGGUUAAAGGCCUACCUAGGCGACGAUCCGUAACUGGACUGAGAGGAGGAUCAGUCACACUGGAACUGAGACACGGUCCAGAGUCCUAAGGGAGGCAGCAGUGGGGAAUAGGGGGCAAUGGGCGAGAGCCUGAUACAGCCAGGGCGCGUGUGUGAAGAAGGUCUUCGGAUUGUAAAGCACUUUAAGUGGGGAGGAAGGGCAGUAAGUUAAGACCUUGCUGUUGUGACGGUACCAACAGAAGAAGCACCGGCUAACUACGUG